GGUUAAAAAUUGCAUCCAUUUAUACUGAUAAAAACUGAUGCGGCUGAUGAAUUGAUUAAAUAAUGACACAUGAUAUGCCAUGUGUACCUCAUGUUGACAUACACUUACUAAUUUAUAAUAGUAGAAAUGGAUGAAAUUUUUAACA
This is a non-coding RNA of Gossypium hirsutum (cotton), 145 nucleotides long. NCBI's taxonomy places the organism in Eukaryota, Viridiplantae, Streptophyta, Magnoliopsida, Malvales, Malvaceae. The record is from Rfam.